UGCUAAUCUGCGAAAAGCGCCGGUAAGGUGAUAUGAACCGUUAUAACCGGCGAUGUCCGAAUGGGGAAACCCAGUGUGACUCGUCACACUAUCAUUAACUGAAUCCAUAGGUUAAUGAGGCGAACCGGGGGAACUGAAACAUCUAAGUACCCCGAGGAAAAGAAAUCAACCGAGAUUCCCCCAGUAGCGGCGAGCGAACGGGGAGGAGCCCAGAGCCUGAAUCAGCAUGUGUGUUAGUGGAAGCGUCUGGAAAGGCGCGCGAUACAGGGUGAG
RNAcentral lists this ribosomal RNA (273 nucleotides) under Salmonella enterica. RNAcentral describes it as "partial 23S ribosomal RNA". It matches the Rfam family "Bacterial large subunit ribosomal RNA", at positions 59 to 368 of the family's 2925-position model. The record is from RNAcentral. Lineage: Bacteria; Pseudomonadati; Pseudomonadota; Gammaproteobacteria; Enterobacterales; Enterobacteriaceae. RNAcentral also lists the same sequence under 1 other name.